GAUGAACGCUGGCGGCGUGCCUAAUACAUGCAAGUCGAGCGAACAGAUGAGAAGCUCGCUUCUCUGAUGUUAGCGGCGGACGGGUGAGUAACACGUGGGUAACCUACCUAUAAGACUGGGAUAACUCCGGGAAACCGGGGCUAAUACCGGAUAAUAUUUUGAACCGCAUGGUUCAAUAGUGAAAGACGGUCUCGGCUGUCACUUAUAGAUGGACCCGCGCCGUAUUAGCUAGUUGGUAAGGUAACGGCUUACCAAGGCGACGAUACGUAGCCGACCUGAGAGGGUGAUCGGCCACACUGGAACUGAGACACGGUCCAGACUCCUACGGGAGGCAGCAGUAGGGAAUCUUCCGCAAUGGGCGAAAGCCUGACGGAGCAACGCCGCGUGAGUGAUGAAGGUCUUCGGAUCGUAAAACUCUGUUGUUAGGGAAGAACAAAUUUGUUAGUAACUGAACAAGUCUUGACGGUACCUAACCAGAAAGCCACGGCUAACUACGUGCCAGCAGCCGCGGUAA
This 514-nucleotide ribosomal RNA is filed under the name uncultured bacterium. RNAcentral's name for it is "partial 16S ribosomal RNA". It matches the Rfam family "Bacterial small subunit ribosomal RNA", at positions 28 to 523 of the family's 1533-position model. The record is from RNAcentral.